AUAUUUCCUUCUUUCUUAUACUAAUUGUUGUUAGCUCCUCAUUUUGCCCCAACCUCCCCUGCCAUGCCCCUAGGUAGUUGUUAAUCCAGUUCUUGUCUCAGCACAUACUUCUUAGACAUAACCAGAGUGCUUGAGGGAAUGAGUCAUUGCACCUGGGGAUCAGGAUCAGGAUCUUGGGGGUCACUAAGGUCUAUUAGCAUAACAAUUCACAAAAACAAUGUUCUACAUCCUACUUGCCUGAGUAGCCACUGGAGUCUUAAAAACUCAUGAACAGCCAUCUAAAAUGCAACUGUUGUUCUCGUCCUGUCCGGAGAAAAGAAAAGCGAUCAAAACCAAAGGACGCAGGAAAACAUUUAGCCGGUGGACUAAGGAACACAAUCAUCAGUCUCCACAACUCUGGGCCAGAAGACCUGGGUAAUGCCUGGCUGCUACUCACCAACUUCUCAGAAAGAGUUUACAGUUAAAAGUCCUGAGUGGAGUGGGAGAAAAAUGUAGAACAAAACUCAAGAUCAUAAAAGAGACCAGGCUCACUGAUGGUAGAGACAGGUGGACCUUUGAAACAUGGCCGUAAGGCACCCUUCAGGUCUAGAGCUGAACUGUGGUGAAAAUAACCCUUUAAGAUCAAGGGCACGCUUACCCAGUGACAAACUUGAGAGGGUUAGGAGAGAAGGAGGACAAGGACAGGCAAAGUGAGAGGGAUGGUACAAUGAGGGAACUGCAGUGCAUGAGUUGAAAUAAAAUAAGUACGAACUUUUGAAUACAAAACUGUUGAUCUGUAAACCUUUACCUAAUUCACAAUAAAACAUUUUAAAAAUUAACCUAUGCAAAGCAUGUCUGGUAAGUCUUGUAGAAAUUUCUGAUUCGUGCCAUUUGUGGACAGAGGAGAGAGAAGCAGUUGGUCCAAGGUUCCCCUUAAGUUACUGACUCCCAAAUUACCUACCCAAGUAACAAGCCUGAAGAAGAUCCAGCUUGAGAAGCAAUCAAAGGUGAGACUGAAGAGGUAUGUGAAAGAUAGUUUCCCAUCGAGCGUGUAUAUAUCUUCAGUUGCUUGUCUAUAACUUGGUUUCAUCGCCUGUUUUUAGAAGAUGGAGUCUGAACUGAUUUCAUUGUAAGUUUUUUAAUAGAUUUAUAGUUUCUCUUAACCCAAUUAGUUAAAAUUACUAGGGUUGUUGAGAUUCCUACAGAAAUUUUAAGCAGAUUCAGUAUCUUUAAACUUUCCCUUGAACACAUUGGCAGCCCCUCUUGUAAGCCCUUUGUUUCCCUAUUGCCACCUAUGUCUGUCUGCCUUUUUUUCUUAUCCUUAUCCUUAGUGCCUCUCACUUCUGCUACUUAAGGGAAUUUGUUAUAAUUAAAUUUGACUUCGGUCUCUGUAAUUUAGUAUGUAGUAAAUUAACACCACAGGGAGCAAAUGCCCCAGUAGUAUAAAAGAACAGAUGUGUUCACAAAAUUUGUCUCUCCAGCAAAGAUUAAUAGAAUUAACAGAAUAAUGUGUACACAUAGUGUCUCUUAGACACAGCUGUGCCAAUUUGUCUGUAUUUACAUCCGAAUACAGGGAACCUCUCCAUAGACCAAAGGCAGUCGAUGGAACAGAACAAGGGAAUACUAUGUGGUGUAAAAUCAGGAAAGGUGUAUGUCUGCAUUGUAUCAGUUUACCAAACUUAUUCAACCUGUAUGCUGAGCAGAUCCAGUAAGCUGGAUGAUAUGGAAGACGUACACAACAUCAGGAUUGGAGGAAGACUCCUAACCGGCAGUAUGCAGAUGGCACAAUGUGCUUGCUCAAAUCCAAGAAGAUGAAGUACUUACUGAUAAUGAUCAGCCUUCAUUAUGAAUUAUGCUGCAAUAUAAAGCCAAGCCCACUGCUGCCCCUGCAGCUACAUGAAUCCGGAGAAGCCUCUAGUUUAUGUCUGACCCAGGGAUUGGAACCACACUGGACUUACCACGUCUACAGCUGUGUAUCAUCACUCUCACCAUUGGUCCUGAAGGGGUCAUCUGUC
Long non-coding RNA from Echinops telfairi (small Madagascar hedgehog), 1994 nucleotides. RefSeq lists it as uncharacterized. The transcript has 3 exons. Lineage: Eukaryota; Metazoa; Chordata; Mammalia; Afrosoricida; Tenrecidae. The record is from RefSeq and is a predicted model, not a curated record.